RNAcentral lists this long non-coding RNA (776 nucleotides) under Populus tremula. RNAcentral's name for it is "long non-coding RNA (PTRE_LNC000932)". Lineage: Eukaryota; Viridiplantae; Streptophyta; Magnoliopsida; Malpighiales; Salicaceae. The record is from RNAcentral.
AAAAAAUCCCCACACUCCCGCACUCAGCAGGACACGCACAUGUAUUCAAAUAAACAAAAAUACAAAAAGAAAAACUCAUUCUCUCUCUCUCUCUCAGUCAUUAUUCAUCAUCUUCCUCUUCAAACACCAAGACACCAAAACCUUAGCCACUCUCUCAUCAAACACCCAAUCUUCGAACGACCACCACCCAAAACACCACACACAGCCCCCGAGUUCCUCCAUGGUUGACGGUAUCAGCAACACUCACGGUUGAGAGAAAGAAGGAGAGGGAGGAAAAGAAUAAUUGAAUUUUGAUAGCGUCGAUUUCCCAUCUCCAGCAAUGGUAAACACUACCGUCAGAGUAGGGAGGAAGAUAAGGAGGAGUAUACCAUGCAUGACCAUCCAUGCUCCUUUUAAACCUCAAUAAUGAGUGCAGUGAUUCGCUAACAGUGGUGGUUCUUCUCUUGUGCAUGAGUUGACACGACGUCAUGACUAUUUUUGUCAGAUUUCAAUAGCUCCAGCAACCUUCAACUCCUCAAUUGGAAGUUGAUUUUUAAUGUCCUAAACCCUCACAUGCUAGCUAGCCCUAUUUUUCAUGUUUAGUUUGUAUUUUGAUUGGAAAUUUUUGCUUAAGUUCGUUGAAUUUUUGUUUUUUUGGUUGGUAUAGUUGUUUGAUUUGUGAUUUGUGAUUUGUGAAUGUGAUCGGUGAUGUUGAAUUGCUAUAGAUUGAGUAAAUUGAGUGUAUGAGAUGUUAGAAAAAAUUUUAGUCUGUAAAUUAGAUGAAAAUGUUUGAUUUA